Molecule: non-coding RNA, 407 nt
Filed under: Eucalyptus grandis
Lineage: Eukaryota; Viridiplantae; Streptophyta; Magnoliopsida; Myrtales; Myrtaceae
Description: Bacterial small subunit ribosomal RNA
Rfam family: Bacterial small subunit ribosomal RNA
Source: Rfam by way of RNAcentral
UGGGAGGAUGGGGGUGGUGCCUUUCUUUGACGGCAUCAACUCCUAUUUGUUAGCCAUGAGGAAUUACUGCUCGGUCAAGGGGAGGGGAAAGGCUUGGGCCUACCAAUCCCGAUAGGACAUCAUAAAGGAACAGACGUGCUACAAUGGCCAGGACAAAGGGUCGCGAUCCCGCGAGGGUGAGCUAACUCAAAAACCCCGUCCUUAGUUUGAAUUGCAAGCUACAACUCGCCUACAUGAAGCCGGAAUCGCUAGUAGUCGCUAGUCAGCCAUACAUCGGUGAAUUUGUUCCGGGCCUUGUACAUGCCACCCGUCAAACCAUGGGAACUAACCAUGCCCAAAGUCGUUACCUUAACUGCAAAGGAGGGGAUGCCGAAGGCAGAAAGUUUUUUUUUUGUUUGUUAGUUUUA